CGCGCGACAGCGCCCCCUGCGAGCCCUAGGAGCACACUGCGCAGGCGCCCAGACUGCUGCAAGGCGCGGAUAUCGGGGCUCUUCUGCUUUGUCGCUGUGUCACCUCUUUCCAGUUGUGCCAGGAGAACGUUAACGCUGAAAGGGAUGCUGCAGACAAAACUACUCGGCACUCCGCAAGGCCCAGGUGUACCUGGUUCUUACCCCAUUUCCUCCGUGGUGCCCGGCUCCAGCACCAUACGCUCUGAGAAACCUUAGGUUGAGCCCAGGCUCUGGUAGUUUCUCCCCUUACAGCAAAAUUAAAACAACUUGUAGUCAGUGAUCUGUGUCGAAGAGUAUAUUAGUAAUCUGUCGCUGCAUAACAAUCACCCCAAAGCUUAACAGCUUAAGACAACAAACAUUUAUUGUCUCACAGAUUCUACAGUGCAGGAGUUUGGGCUGGGCUUGGCUGGUUGUGUCGUGGUCUCUCAUGAGAUUACAGUCAAGGUGUGGGUCAGGGCUGGAGUAUCUCAAUCACAUGACUGUUGGUGGAGGCCUCGGCUUUUCACUGCAUGGACCUCCCAUCGGGCCACUUGGGUGUCCCAGUGACAUCCUCACUUCCCACAAAGCCGGCGAUCCCAGAGAGACCAAGGCAGAAGCCACAAUGUCUUUAAUGAUCUCAUCUCAGUAGUCACACACCAUCACUUCGCUCACAUUCUGUUGAUCACAAUCCAAGCCUUCAGUGUGGGAGAAUCUACACAAAGGGCUGAGUACCAAGAGAGAGGGAUCAUUGGGGGCCAUCUGGGAGUCUGGCUACCACAGAGGGCCUGGCAAUAAUGGUGAGGAUGAUGACUUAGGUGAGGAACAAAGUAUCAUCAAGUUUCAUCCUUGUAUGAUAACCAUUUUCCAAAUCAUAAAAGAGUUGAAUAAAGUUUCUCCCAAUAGGUGGCAGUGCUUUUCCACACUGACCUUCGUUCAUUAAAUAAGUAUGUAUGGAUCACCCGCUUUGUGCCAGCUAUUGUCCUAGGUGCUGAGAAGACACGUGCCUACCCGUGCAGAGCUUACAGAGUGUAACCACUAGGAUGGAGGAAGCAAUCCAACCGCAGGAGUGAAGGAGGGUCCUGGAGAACCAGAGCAUGUCCAAGGCACAGCCAAGAUUUAAGGAUGUCACCUUAAUGUCUGCAAGCAACAGGCACUGCAACUUUCAGAGAGUUCAGAAAAAAUUUUUUUUUCUUUUUUGCGCCACCAGGGAAGCCCUCUUUUUUUUUAAAUGGACCAUUUCAUAGAAUAUUACAAAGGGGUGAUGUCACUCUUCCUUGGGAAUCCAUUCAUUGGUUCUCUGCAGGCUUUUUUUUAAUUGAAGUAUAAUUGAUUUUACAGUGUUGUGCCAUCUCUGCUGCACAGCAAAGCGACUGAGUUAUACACAUAUGUACAUUCUUUUUUUAUAUUGUAGGGUUUUUUUAAUGUUUUAUUUUAGAACAGUUUUAGACUUACAGAAUUAUUGUGAAGACUUAUAUACCACAUACCCAAUUUUCCCUAUUAUUAACAUCUUAGAUUAGUAUAACACAUUUGUCACUAUCAAUGGAUUAAUAUAGAUAUCUUUAUUAACUGAAAUUCAUACUUUAUUGAGAUUUUCUCGGGUUUUCCCUAACGUCCUCUCUCUGUUCCAGGAUCCCAUCCAGGAUGUCACAUUACAUUUAGUACUCAUGUCUCCUAGGCUCCUCUUGGUUGUGACAGUUUCUUAGACUUUCCUUGUUUUUUAUGACCUUGACAGUUUUGAGGAGUACUGGUCAGGUAUUUUAUAUAGUGUCCCUCAUAGCAAUAGUGCAUGCUGUCAGGAUGACUCCUCACAUUUGAUGUUAACCCAGAUCACUUGGCAUCUCCACUGUAAAGUUACUCCUUUUUCUCCUCUUUAUAUUGUACCCUUUGGAUGAAAAUGUGGAGCCCACACUUAAAGAGUAGGAGUUAUACCCUCCCUCUUUAGGGGCUGAGUAUCUAUAUAAAUCAUUUUAAUUUCUA
Molecule: long non-coding RNA, 1995 nt
Organism: Aethalodelphis obliquidens (Pacific white-sided dolphin)
Lineage: Eukaryota; Metazoa; Chordata; Mammalia; Artiodactyla; Delphinidae
Exons: 3
Source: RefSeq, a predicted model, not a curated record